RNAcentral lists this long non-coding RNA (709 nucleotides) under Pongo abelii (Sumatran orangutan). RNAcentral describes it as "lincRNA". The record is from RNAcentral. Lineage: Eukaryota; Metazoa; Chordata; Mammalia; Primates; Hominidae.
AGAGGGGAAGUGAAUGACCAACUGGGUAGGCUGAUGAAUAUUUUCCUGGUAAAUGCAUAACUUUCCCCACAACUGUGAUGCUUUAUCCUUUGACAUUAAGAAUGCUGUUUGCAGAAGUAACAUUCCUUUGAACACUCAGCUUUCUGAAAUGGUGUCCCACCACAAGGACUGGAGAAGGGUAAACCUCAGGUUCUCCUCCUGCCUUUUGCUAAGUAUAUGUCUUGAUGACAAGCCUUCUGCUAAUGAGCUGUGUUUCUGGACCGAUCAUGGUAGAAGUCAAUUGAAGUGUCCCUCACUUGGGGUUUCUUAAGGACAAGGUCUCACUAUGUUGCCCAGACUAGUCUCCAACUCCUGGCCUCAAGUGAUGACCCUGUCUCAGCCUCCCAAAGUGCUGGGAUUAAAGCUGCACUGAUGAGGAAACUGAAACAGAAAAUCCAGAGUAAAUUCCACCAGGCCACACAGCAAGGUCUGAUAGAGCCAGGAGAGACUUUAUGAAAUCCAGACUCUCACACUAAUGCUCUAUCAGCUAGACCUCCAUGUGAGUCUCCCCAAUGUAGGUAGGAAGCACUUUCCCUAAAAUGCUCAUAAAGCAAAUCAGAGCAAUGCUUCAUUUCAUGUGAUUUCUAAUUUGAAAUGCAAACAAUUGCCAAUUUGUUUGACUUGUAUUUAUAAUUAUUUCCUUGUGAAUUACUCAUCACUAAAUGCUUUA